RNAcentral lists this ribosomal RNA (319 nucleotides) under uncultured Archaeospora. RNAcentral's name for it is "SSU rRNA". It matches the Rfam family "Eukaryotic small subunit ribosomal RNA", at positions 771 to 1092 of the family's 1831-position model. The record is from RNAcentral. Lineage: Eukaryota; Fungi; Glomeromycota; Glomeromycetes; Archaeosporales; Archaeosporaceae.
GUGUUUAAAGUCAGGCUUUUGUUUGAAUAGAUUAGCAUGGAAUAAUAGAAUAGGACGUUGUGGUUCUAUUUUGUUGGUUCAAGGACACCGUAAUGAUUAAUAGGGAUAUUGGGGGCAUUAGUAUUCAAUUGUCAGAGGUGAAAUUCUUGGAUUUAUUGAAGACUAACUACUGCGAAAGCAUUUGCCAAGGAUGUUUUCAUUAAUCAAGAACGAAAGUUAGGGGAUCGAAGACGAUCAGAUACCGUCGUAGUCUUAACCAUAAACUAUGCCGACUAGGAAUCGGGCGACGUUAUUUUCACGACUCGCUCGGCGCCUUAUG